AGUAAUGCGUGAAGCUAACUUGUACUAAUUGGCUGAUUGUCUUGACCAU
Molecule: ribosomal RNA, 49 nt
Filed under: Fluoribacter gormanii
Lineage: Bacteria; Pseudomonadati; Pseudomonadota; Gammaproteobacteria; Legionellales; Legionellaceae
Description: 23S rRNA. Bacterial LSU
Source: RNAcentral